Molecule: long non-coding RNA, 712 nt
Organism: Gasterosteus aculeatus aculeatus (three-spined stickleback)
Lineage: Eukaryota; Metazoa; Chordata; Actinopteri; Perciformes; Gasterosteidae
Source: Ensembl
GCAAAACAAAGGUUUGUUAAAGGAAGGGCUGCAUCUCAACGAGCACUGACUCCUGAAGAGAGAUCCAAUUACAGCUGAUCAGCAACACCUGUGACACCUGCAGGAUGGGUAUAUGUAACCUGCCACAUGGCUCAAAUUGCGUUUUCUGUUGGUGACUGAAGUAAUGGCAGCUUUUUGGGCCUUGCUUGUUUCUGUGCUGACUGUCUGGCUUACCAAAGGCGAUGGUUUGCCGGUUGGUGACACAAAUUAAAUGAGUAGUAAUGGGCUACAGAGGACAAUGAGAGAUCUGUCUCUUAAUGACCCCUCCAUAAAGAAGGCCCUUACGCGUCACCAUUCCCAUGAGUCUGUCAUCCUGCGGAAGUCGAAAGAAGUCCAACUGGAAACCAAUGAAGUCGAAGUCAAGGCAUCAGCUGUCUACCUGAAAGUUGCGCAGAACGUCAGGGGCGGCAACAACGGCACCCUGGGCGACGACGGCCCGAGCGGCAACAACGGCACCCUGGGCGACGACGGCCCGAGCGGCAACAACGGCACCCUUUUACUGCACUGAUACUCAACUAAUAACUGCUUUUAGCACUGCUUUAAAUAAAGCUUUUUUCUAAAUUUAGUGUUUGAUAUUUCUCUUUGGGGGGGUGGAUAUUGAUCGAUGGUAACCUGUGAGGCAAGCACAGAUUGUCGGUAAAAAGCUGAACUGGUGACUUUAAUAAAUGACACA